CCCUUAGCUGUUCUGGGCCGCACGCGUGCUACACUGAGUGGAUCAGCGGGUCAGGUUGCGCGAAAGUGUUUCCUAAUCUUGAAAUCCGCUCGUGAUGGGGAUUGACGGUUGCAAUUUUCCGUCAUGAACGAGGAAUACCUUGUAAGCGCGGGUCAUCAUCCCGCGCUGAAUACGUCCCUGCCCUUUGUACACACCGCCCGUCGCUCCUACCGAUUGAGUGGUCCGGUGAGGCUUUGGGAUCUGAGCGGAAAGAGCGUUUCGCUGUUUCUGCUCGGAAAACUCAGUCGAACCUUAUCAUUUAGAGGAAGGAGAAGUCGUAACA
RNAcentral lists this ribosomal RNA (322 nucleotides) under uncultured eukaryote. RNAcentral's name for it is "partial 18S ribosomal RNA". It matches the Rfam family "Eukaryotic small subunit ribosomal RNA", at positions 1470 to 1796 of the family's 1831-position model. The record is from RNAcentral.